This 441-nucleotide ribosomal RNA is filed under the name uncultured bacterium. Its description in RNAcentral is "partial 16S ribosomal RNA". It matches the Rfam family "Bacterial small subunit ribosomal RNA", at positions 338 to 794 of the family's 1533-position model. The record is from RNAcentral.
CCUACGGGAGGCAGCAGUGGGGAAUAUUGGGCAAUGGGCGCAAGCCUGACCCAGCAACGCCGCGUGAAGGAAGAAGGCUUUCGGGUUGUAAACUUCUUUUAAGAGGGAAGAGAAGAAGACGGUACCUCUUGAAUAAGCCACGGCUAACUACGUGCCAGCAGCCGCGGUAAUACGUAGGUGGCAAGCGUUGUCCGGAUUUACUGGGUGUAAAGGGCGUGCAGCCGGGCUGACAAGUCAGAUGUGAAAUCCCGAGGCUCAACCGCGGAACUGCCUUGGGAACUGUCAGUCUUGAGUACAGGAGAGGUCAUCGGAAUCCAUUGUGGAGCGGUGAAAUGAGUAGAGAUAAGGAAGAAAACCAGUGGCGAAGGCGGAUGAUGGGACGGCAACUGACGGUGAGGCGCGAAAGCGUGGGGAGCAAACAGGAUUAGAUACCCCAGUAGU